RNAcentral lists this ribosomal RNA (849 nucleotides) under uncultured organism. Its description in RNAcentral is "bacterial SSU rRNA". It matches the Rfam family "Bacterial small subunit ribosomal RNA", at positions 506 to 1344 of the family's 1533-position model. The record is from RNAcentral.
UGCCAGCAGCCGCGGUAACACGGAAGCCCCGAGCGUGUUUCGGAUUCAUUGGGCGUAAAGGGUGCGUAGGCGGCGCGGAAAGUCCGGCGUGAAAGGCAGAGGCUCAACCUCUGGACUGCGUUGGAUACUUCCGUGCUUGAGGACUGGAGGGGAGACUGGAAUUCACGGUGUAGCAGUGAAAUGCGUAGAUAUCGUGAGGAAGACCGGUGGCGAAGGCGGGUCUCUGGACAGAUCCUGACGCUGAGGCACGAAGGCUGGGGGAGCGAACAGGAUUAGAUACCCUGGUAGUCCCAGCAGUAAACGAUGUGAGCUUGAUGUGGGGGGAUUCGACCCCUUCCGUGUCGAAGCUAACGCGAUAAGCUCACCGCCUGAGGAGUACGGCCGCAAGGCUAAAACUCAAAGAAAUUGACGGGGACCCGCACAAGCGGUGGAGUAUGUGGCUUAAUUCGAUGCAACGCGGAGAACCUUACCUGGCCUUGACAUGCAUUGUGUCGUCGGUGAAAGCCGGCUAGUCCUGGAAACAGGACGCUUUGCACAGGUGCUGCAUGGCUGUCGUCAGCUCGUGUCGUGAGAUGUUGGGUUAAGUCCCGCAACGAGCGCAACCCUUGUGGUCAGUUACUAACCGGCUUAGCCGGAGGACUCUGGCCAGACUGCCCUGUCAAACGGGGAGGAAGGUGGGGACGACGUCAAGUCAGUAUGGCCCUUAUGGCCAGGGCUGCACACGUACUACAAUGCCCGGUACAAUGUGAACCGAAACCGCGAGGUGGAGGAAAUCGCUCUUGAAAACCGGGCCCAGUUCGGAUUGGAGUCUGCAACUCGACUCCAUGAAGUCGGAAUCGCUAGUAAUGG